Molecule: long non-coding RNA, 522 nt
Organism: Lagopus muta (rock ptarmigan)
Lineage: Eukaryota; Metazoa; Chordata; Aves; Galliformes; Phasianidae
Exons: 3
Source: RefSeq, a predicted model, not a curated record
AUUAACAUCUUCAAAAAGAAGGAUUUUUCAACUUAGGUUGCUUUAUACAUUAGAACAGAAAAUCCAGGCUGUUUUGAAAGUGUUGAAUGAAAUCCCAUUGAAAUCAGCGGAAGGAUUCCUCUGACUCCAGUAGUUUUUAUCUCCACUUUGAAUUGAGGGAAAUGGAAAGCAAUAUUUUAUUUUAGUAUGAAUGUCAGACAAAAAAACUUCAAGCCAAAGUAUGAACACCAGAUCUGGACUCUGAGAGAAGUGCACAUCCUGAAGUUCUUCCCCAAAGGUCUGCUGCCUUGCCAUAGUUGCAAGCCACAACAGCAAGAAAAGAUAUAUUAAUCUAAGCAUUUUAAGGAAACGAGGAGAAUCCAGAACUACAUGCAAUUCAUACAAGUCAAAUAGAAGAGCUGCACUCACAUUAUCUCAGAAGCAAGGUGUUUUUUUCUGAAGUUCAGUCAUAUAUGAGCAUUUGACAUAAAAUUCAUAAAGGUCAAACUGGUGAGAUUUUCAAAACUACAUAAAUGCCUUUAA